UGGGGAAUAUUGGACAAUGGGGGGAACCCUGAUCCAGCCAUGCCGCGUGUGUGAAGAAGGCCUUAUGGUUGUAAAGCACUUUAAGCGAGGAGGAGGGUACUGGUAUUAAUACUACCAGGUGCUGGACGUUACUCGCAGAAUAAGCACCGGCUAACUCUGUGCCAGCAGCCGCGGUAAUACAGAGGGUGCGAGCGUUAAUCGGAUUUACUGGGCGUAAAGCGUGCGUAGGCGGCUGAUUGAGUCGGAUGUGAAAUCCCCGAGCUUAACUUGGGAAUUGCAUUCGAUACUGGUUAGCUAGAGUGUGAGAGAGGAUGGUAGAAUUCCAGGUGUAGCGGUGAAAUGCGUAGAGAUCUGGAGGAAUACCGAUGGCGAAGGCAGCCAUCUGGCCUAACACUGACGCUGAGGUACGAAAGCAUGGGGAGCAAACAGG
This 430-nucleotide ribosomal RNA is filed under the name Pseudomonadota bacterium. RNAcentral describes it as "Proteobacteria bacterium partial 16S ribosomal RNA". It matches the Rfam family "Bacterial small subunit ribosomal RNA", at positions 355 to 776 of the family's 1533-position model. Lineage: Bacteria; Pseudomonadati; Pseudomonadota. The record is from RNAcentral.